RNAcentral lists this ribosomal RNA (348 nucleotides) under bacterium enrichment culture clone ALO1_GLFRUDD03GBYNT. RNAcentral describes it as "bacterial SSU rRNA". It matches the Rfam family "Bacterial small subunit ribosomal RNA", at positions 9 to 355 of the family's 1533-position model. The record is from RNAcentral.
GAGUUUGAUCGUGGCUCAGAUUGAACGCUGGCGGCAUGCCUUACACAUGCAAGUCGAACGGCAGCACGGGAGCUUGCUCCUGGUGGGCGAGUGGCGAACGGGUGAGUAAUGCAUCGGAACGUAUCCUGGAGUGGGGGAUAACGUAGCGAAAGUUACGCUAAUACCGCAUAUUCUGUGAGCAGGAAAGCGGGGGACCUUCGGGCCUCGCGCUCUUGGAGCGGCCGAUGUCGGAUUAGCUAGUUGGUGAGGUAAAGGCUCACCAAGGCGACGAUCCGUAGCAGGUCUGACGAGGAUGAUCUGCCACACUGGAACUGAGACACGGUCCAGACUCCUACGGGAGGCAGCAGU